UAGGGAAUCUUCCACAAUGGACGCAAGUCUGAUGGAGCAACGCCGCGUGAGUGAAGAAGAUCUUCGGNUCGUAAAACUCUGUUGUUAGAGAAGAACACGAGUGAGAGCAACUGUUCAUUCGAUGACGGUAUCUAACCAGCAAGUCACGGCUAACUACGUGCCAG
RNAcentral lists this ribosomal RNA (164 nucleotides) under uncultured bacterium. RNAcentral describes it as "partial 16S rRNA". It matches the Rfam family "Bacterial small subunit ribosomal RNA", at positions 355 to 511 of the family's 1533-position model. The record is from RNAcentral.